Molecule: long non-coding RNA, 850 nt
Organism: Saccostrea cuccullata (small rock oyster)
Lineage: Eukaryota; Metazoa; Mollusca; Bivalvia; Ostreida; Ostreidae
Exons: 2
Source: RefSeq, a predicted model, not a curated record
GCUAGAAUAAUGUGUUUUUCAUUAGAAAAUUUCAAAGGCUUUGAUUAUCAACCUUUAUUGAAUAGUUCUUGUUAGUAUUAGGCAUUUCGAAAUAAUCAGAUUUAUCCCUAAAAGAUAAAUACAGUUAUUGAGAAGGCCGUUUAUGGCUUUGUUUUUUGAGAUUAUAAAUAGCUACGAAGUGCAAACCGUUUUCCGGAAUUAUGCGGUUCUAUCGUUACGGUUCUAGGGUCAAUAAUACUUGAGCUUUGAUGCGCAUGUGCUUGGUCUUUUCAACUUCCCAUCUUGUUCAGUGCAGACGAAAUCCCCUCCCUUCCCUCCCUUAAAUACUAGGAAAUCGUCAUGACUUGUACAUGUACACCUAUGAAGAAGGCCAUCAUGGACUUUGCUGUGAGAAUGUGAUAAUCCUGACUGUUAAGUUACAAUUUCAGAAAUCGUCGUGGCUUAUACACUGUCAGAUGAAGAAAGUUAUGGACUUCUAUUUGCUGUGUGAAUGUGAUAAUCCUGACUGUAGUGUUACGUGACAUUUUCAGUAAUCGUCGUGGCUUAUACGCUGAUGAAGAAAGCUAUGGACUAUGCUUUGUGAAUGUGAUAAUCCUGACCUUUUCGUGUUAGCGCAAUUUUGACAAGUAACCAUUUGCUGAGGGUGAUACUGUUAUCUCCAGGUCCCCCAGCUAUGAUAUGGUUUGUUUGAUAUUUGUGAAUGCUAUGCUGCCAAAAUGCUUACCAGUUGUAAGAUCGGCGCAUAGGUUAUGAACAUGCCAGUUGCAUGUUGCUGAUGUUUGAAUGAACAUGCCAGUUGCAUGUUAUCUGUGAAUGUAAUUUGUAAUAAAAGCCAUGACAGUUCCGCCAA